Molecule: small RNA, 856 nt
Filed under: Pongo abelii (Sumatran orangutan)
Lineage: Eukaryota; Metazoa; Chordata; Mammalia; Primates; Hominidae
Description: processed transcript
Source: RNAcentral
CCUUGAGCAUGGACAGCCUGGAUCUGCUGGGUGAAGGGAGAAGUUAUGUCCAGGGUGGGACAGAGAGGAUGGCGAGAGAUUUCCUCACUGCUCAGAACAGUGGGAAAUUCAAAACUUAGGGAUUAUUUCUGAAAUUUUCCAUUUAAAAAUUUCCAUUUAUAAUUGACCAAGGGUAACUGAAACCAGAGAAAGCAAGACUGAGGAUAAGGGAGGGGCCUCCUGUACUCCAAGAGCACUGAAUCCGGAAAAACUCAACACAUUGAUGGAGUCAUAUAUUUAAUUUUUUCUUAAAAGCCACCUGCGGGAUAUUGUAGAAACACUGCGCUGCCAAUCACAGCUUGUGAUGUGACACAUUCAUUCUGCAAGUUUAAACUUCCCCUAGCAAAUCUUUAUGAGCACCUACUAUGCAUCAGGCUGUUGUCGUGAAUAAAACAAGAUCCAUAUCCCGAGGGAGUGUGCCUUCCAGGAGAGAAAGACGGCAAUGUGUAAGGAGCGUUAGAAGAAGAUGUUGUCUUUUGGGUGUAGAAAGUGCAAAGAGCUCCUGGGAAGGUGCUGCUGGAUGCAGUUUGCAACCACCUCAACCUCGUGGAAGGUGACUAUUUUGGCCUCGAGUUUCCUGAUCACAAAAAGAUCACGGUGUGGCUGGAUCUCCUAAAACCCAUUGUGAAACAGAUCAGAAGGCCAAAGCAUGUUGUUGUUAAGUUUGUGGUGAAAUUCUUUCCGCCUGACCACACACAACUCCAAGAAGAACUCACAAGGUACCUGUUCGCGCUGCAGGUGAAGCAGGACUUGGCUCAAGGCAGGUUGACGUGUAACGACACCAGCGCAGCUCUCUUGAUUUCACACAUUGUGCAAU